RNAcentral lists this ribosomal RNA (820 nucleotides) under bacterium. RNAcentral's name for it is "bacterial SSU rRNA". It matches the Rfam family "Bacterial small subunit ribosomal RNA", at positions 29 to 858 of the family's 1533-position model. The record is from RNAcentral.
ACGAACGCUGGCGGCGUGCUUAACACAUGCAAGUCGAACGAUGAACCAGGAGCUUGCUCUUGGGAAUUAGUGGCGAACGGGUGAGUAACACGUGAGUAACCUGCCCUUGACUCUGGGAUAACCUCCGGAAACGGAAGCUAAUACCGGAUACGACGCACGGAGGCAUCUCCAGUGCGUGGAAAAAACUUCGGUCAAGGAUGGACUCGCGGCCUAUCAGGUAGUUGGUGAGGUAACGGCUCACCAAGCCUACGACGGGUAGCCGGCCUGAGAGGGUGACCGGCCACACUGGGACUGAGACACGGCCCAGACUCCUACGGGAGGCAGCAGUGGGGAAUAUUGCACAAUGGGCGCAAGCCUGAUGCAGCAACGCCGCGUGAGGGAUGACGGCCUUCGGGUUGUAAACCUCUUUUAGUAGGGAAGAAGCGAAAGUGACGGUACCUGCAGAAAAAGCACCGGCUAACUACGUGCCAGCAGCCGCGGUAAUACGUAGGGUGCGAGCGUUGUCCGGAAUUAUUGGGCGUAAAGAGCUCGUAGGCGGUCUGUCGCGUCUGCUGUGAAAACCCGAGGCUCAACCUCGGGCCUGCAGUGGGUACGGGCAGACUAGAGUGCGGUAGGGGAGAAUGGAAUUCCUGGUGUAGCGGUGGAAUGCGCAGAUAUCAGGAGGAACACCGAUGGCGAAGGCAGUUCUCUGGGCCGUAACUGACGCUGAGGAGCGAAAGCGUGGGGAGCGAACAGGAUUAGAUACCCUGGUAGUCCACGCCGUAAACGUUGGGCGCUAGAUGUGGGGACCAUUCCACGGUUUCCGUGUCGCAGCUAACGC